RNAcentral lists this ribosomal RNA (253 nucleotides) under uncultured bacterium. Its description in RNAcentral is "partial 16S ribosomal RNA". It matches the Rfam family "Bacterial small subunit ribosomal RNA", at positions 524 to 776 of the family's 1533-position model. The record is from RNAcentral.
UACGGAGGGUGCGAGCGUUAAUCGGAAUUACUGGGCGUAAAGCGUGCGUAGGCGGUUGUCUAAGUCAGAUGUGAAAGCCCCGGGCUCAACCUGGGAACUGCAUUUGAAACUGGGCAGCUAGAGUUUGGUAGAGGAAGGUAGAAUUCCUAGUGUAGCGGUGAAAUGCGUAGAUAUUAGGAGGAAUACCAGUGGCGAAGGCGGCCUUCUGGACCAAAACUGACGCUGAGGUACGAAAGCGUGGGGAGCAAACAGG